UAUGCAUUGCAGUUGUGCUGCUUUAAAAAAGAAUGCAAAGUAGCUUCUGCUUUGAGCGCAUUUUGUGCACUCCACAGAGGAGCGUGUAAUUAAAACAUGAAAAACAUGUUUAGCAGCACUCUCAAAUGUCCGGAUUUGGGAGUCAGACAUGCUGUUGAUGCCAAAUGACAUGCAAUCGUAAAAAAAAAAAGAUAUGGUAGUGUUCUAGUGGCUGGGCGAACACUGAAGGAAAGCACAGAUGGGGGAAUUUAUUCCUCUGUAAUGUGGCCCAAAUCUAAUCCUCAUUUCUUCACAACUGCUCCUUUCCUCUCCUGUGUUUUUGUCUAUUGGUGCCUUUAUAUUUUAUUCCCCGAGGUUAUAUCUCUCCGCUUUCAACUGUGCCUCGUUUUUGUUUGUUUUCUUUGUUCCUAUAUUUUAAAGUCAAUUUUUCAUGUCUGCUUCUAUGUGUUGGUAUGUUUUCAUGUUUUGGUCCCUUUAUUUUCUUAUAUUUUCCUUCCUCUCGCUCUCUCUAUGUUACACUUUGAGUCAUAUACUAUGUUUGUUGCAUUUCUUUCUCUCGAAAAUUGUCAUCUUGCUCUAGUUAGUUUCAUUCUUCUUUUCAAGUUAUUUAACAUGUUUGCUUUUGUUUGACAACAAUCGCUCCCGCUGUACACGACAGUUGCGCUUGGCCGAUACCAAUGGUAUAUACUCACCUGUGGAGUUUUGCGCAAUGCAGUAAUGCUUAGAAAGCUUCACUGUGAAGGUGAUAAAGACAUCAUGUGCUGGUUCAUGAAAUAGACUUUUUGCAAGUGAACUUCAAUUUCCGACAGUAUAAACAGCCUCUUUGUUACAAUAGCUUGGCAGACAUGCUUACCUUCAAGAAACAGUGUACAUAACUCUUUGCGCAACUAAUCAUUGCGUCAGCUGUGAUGUCGUGCACAUGUAGGUGGACGGUCUAAAACACUAGGUGGGUAGCAUUUCUGGAACCCUCGGCUGCAGGUUCCCUCAAUCAUGUCGUGGUUUUGCAAUGUUUAAGCCCCUACCAAUAGUUAAGUUUAGAUGGCAUGCGAUUCAUUUUGUUGCCCAAUAUUCAGAUUUCUAGGGUGCUGCAGCCAAAAUGAUCUGGGCAAAGAAAAUAAAGACCGCUCACAAUUGUGCUGAAAUAAAGUAGAAAAUUUAUCAGCGAUACAGUAUGCACAAUACAUUCUUACAGCAAGGGUUUUGUUUUCAGGUGUCCUUGUUGAGAAACGAUUUAAGAACCUGCGUGAUAUCUUCAAAAAGAAACAACACGACAUACGUGAAAAAACAAAGAAGUGGAGCCGGAGCAGCCGACAUUCCAACAAUAAAAUGGCCCCAUUUUGAGGCCAUGCUUGAAUUAAUGGAAGGAGAGUCUGAGCCUGUGGCGUAAGUUCAAUAUUAGCUGACUAUUGAGUACUAAACAAAAAAAAAGUUGAUUUAAUUCACAUGACUGUUAUACAUACACAUAAAUACUCACAUAUCAAUACACAUAAGUACACUGCACAUAAACAUAGAAGUCCCAAGAGGUAAUUCACAGUGGGCAUGCAUGUGAUCAUGAACAUGAUGGCAAUGGGCUGUUUUGAUGUCGAAUAACUGUGGCUACAGCUACGAAGAAUAACUCAGUGCAUCAUUCUUUCUGGAUACUGUGCAACAUGAGUGCCAUUGACCAAAGCAGCCACAUCACAGCAGAAGAGGCUAACGAGAGAUCACCGCCUCGGCCAAGACAUGCAGCGGAACCGGAACGUACCCCUGAUACGGCUGAGGAGACUCGUGUCGACACCUGCAGCAAUGA
This is an unclassified non-coding RNA of Rhipicephalus microplus (southern cattle tick), 1789 nucleotides long. The record is from RefSeq and is a predicted model, not a curated record. NCBI's taxonomy places the organism in Eukaryota, Metazoa, Arthropoda, Arachnida, Ixodida, Ixodidae.